GACGAACGCUGGCGGCGUGCUUAACACAUGCAAGUCGAGCGAUGAAGUUUCUUCGGAAAUGGAUUAGCGGCGAACGGGUGAGGAACACGUGAAGAAUCUGCCCUCCACUUCGGGAUAACACCGGGAAACCGGUGCUAAUACUGAAUAUUGAAACAUAAGUGGCAUCACUGAGUUUUGAAAGAAUUUCGGUGGAGGAUGACUUCGCGGCCUAUCAGCCAGUUGGUGAGGUAAUGGCUCACCAAGGCAACGACGGGUAGCCGGCCUGAGAGGGCGAGCGGCCACACUGGGACUGAGACACGGCCCAGACGCCUACGGGAGGCAGCAGUGGGGAAUAUUGGGCAAUGGAGGAACCUCUGACCCAGCGACGCCGCGUGCGGGAUGAAGGCCUUCGGGUGGUAAACCGCUUUCAGUAGGGAAGAAGCGAAAGUGGCGGUACCUACAAAAGAAGCACCGGCUAACUAUGUGCCAGCCGCCGCCGUAA
RNAcentral lists this ribosomal RNA (481 nucleotides) under uncultured bacterium. RNAcentral's name for it is "partial 16S ribosomal RNA". It matches the Rfam family "Bacterial small subunit ribosomal RNA", at positions 28 to 523 of the family's 1533-position model. The record is from RNAcentral.